Molecule: non-coding RNA, 73 nt
Organism: Halogranum salarium B-1
Lineage: Archaea; Methanobacteriati; Methanobacteriota; Halobacteria; Halobacteriales; Haloferacaceae
Source: Rfam
AGUCCCGUGGUGUAGCGGCCAAUCAUCUGGGCCUUUGGAGCCUAGGACAGCGGUUCGAAUCCGCUCGGGACUA